RNAcentral lists this ribosomal RNA (253 nucleotides) under uncultured bacterium. Its description in RNAcentral is "partial 16S ribosomal RNA". It matches the Rfam family "Bacterial small subunit ribosomal RNA", at positions 524 to 776 of the family's 1533-position model. The record is from RNAcentral.
UACGGAGGAUGCAAGCGUUGUUCGGAAUUACUGGGCGUAAAGCGUGCGUAGGCGGCGAUUCAAGUCAGGGGUGAAAGCCUGGAGCUCAACCCCGGAACUGCCCUUGAAACUGGGAAGCUAGAAUCUUGGAGAGGUUAGUGGAAUUCCGAGUGUAGAGGUGAAAUUCGUAGAUAUUCGGAAGAACACCAGUGGCGAAGGCGACUAACUGGACAAGUAUUGACGCUGAGGUACGAAAGCGUGGGGAGCAAACAGG